This 605-nucleotide long non-coding RNA is filed under the name Fukomys damarensis (Damara mole-rat). RNAcentral describes it as "lncRNA (ENSFDAG00000027390.1)". The record is from RNAcentral. Lineage: Eukaryota; Metazoa; Chordata; Mammalia; Rodentia; Bathyergidae.
CAACAAACAGAUGGUAGAAAUUCAGAGAACCCAUUUGGGCUAACCUUUUAAGGACUUCCUACUUAACGGGGCACAAGGAAAUGAGAAAACUGCACAGAUUAAGCUCUGCUAUUAGCAGAUGCUGUUUCGAGAACUACUCUUCUUGGCUCUUCACAGACUCCAUCAGCAUCCAGAAGAUAUUUGACACACGGGAGUAAGACCGGCGUUCUCAGGGAAGAGACCACACUCGUGUCUCAUGUCACUCUUGGUAUAACUGGAAGAGCCAGUUUCUUGGAGUUUACCUCAUUUACCAUGUCUGGGAACGAGAGCCUAAUGAUAGCAGCUGUGAAGUUCUUUCUAGGCUGCAGAGAAAACACAGCGGACUUCUUUCGGUAUCUUCCACAGAACACAACAGCAUAUCUGCUCAGGAUAUUGUCAAACUAUUCAUCAAGGAAGAGAAAGACAAAGAACUAGAAGAGUAGAUGGAAAUCUGAAGCGAUGCUUACACCAUCUUGUAAAUCCACAGCUAAUUUAUGUAGGACUGAAAAAACAUGUAAAUCCGUGCAAUGUUGGGGGAGGAAAAAACAUCUACGAAAAGCUAGGGCUUUUUGUCAUUAGGAAGGGCC